UUUAUCUCUUCUUUCAGGAAUUUAUACCUCUGAUAUUUUUCUUAUCAGAUUAUAUUGAGGAAUUUAAGCAAGACAUAUCUUUUUAGGCAGUUGUGUGUGUGUGUGUGUGUGUGUGUGUGUAUUUUUUAACCUUACUUUGCAGUGGUGGGAAUCAAAACCAGCAGUGGCUGGGCAAAUGCUCUACCACUAAGCUGUGUCCCAAUCCAUAGAUUUAUAUUGAUGACAACAGAAUAGUUUUGGUUUAUGGUAUCUUAAAGCUUUAAAGCUGCUGCUUCUUUUUUUUUUUUUUUCUAUUUAAUGGACAAAGGAAGCCAGAUAAAUAAAAAGGUCUUGAUUUUGUCAAUUUGUUUUAUGUCAUUUUUUUCUAAUUGUAUAUGUUUUUUAAUCUCUAUAUGGUAUAUUUUCUGUGCUUUUUAGAUGAUAGUUCUAAUACUAGAAGUUUCCCCCCACCUUACGGUUACCUUUGUGCCCUUAUGGGAUACUUACCUUCUUUUCUUUUUUUAAAAUAGUCUUUUGUUUCCCUUAACGAAUAACAUUAUUUCUCUUUAUUAACUAGUUUUAGGCUAGUUAUUAGCUUGUUUAUUUACCCCUUGGGAUUUAACUCUUUAAUUUUGCUUAAAUUUAUAGUAUUUGGUUUUCAACUUUGAAUCCUGUUACACAUAAGGUACAGUUGUUGAAUUUAUUCUACUUUAUUUUCUACUUCUAUCAGUCAUUUAUUUUGUAUAUAUUAUCUCAUUCUUAGAGUACAUAACAGUUGCAUUCCAUUCUGUCAUCAGUACAUAUAUUUGUUUUCAUCUUAAAUCUACAAUUAAUGUAUUGGUGCUCACUAUCAGUCCUUUUGCUGAAAUUUUUCCUGUUGUUCAGUGGUUUCAGUUUGUCCUCAAGUUGUUUCUUUAAGAAGGUUUCAUAUGGAUAAAUGCUGAGAUUUUGCAGGGUCAGUAGCCUUAUUUAUGAAAGACUGUUUGGCUAACUACAAAAUUACUGACUCACACUUUCUUUCCUUGAGUGUCUUUUGGAAAAUUAUCCACUGUCUUCUGACAUUGAAUGCCCAGUUAGAGAAGAAUGAUGCUGGUGUACUUUUUUUUUCUUAGAAGAGUUCAGCUUUAAGUAAUCCCAGUAACUCAGGAGGCUGAGGCAGGAGGAUCUCAAGUUCAAAGCCAGUCUCGGCAACUUUGCAAGGCCCUAAGCAAUUUCAUGAGACCCUGUCUCAAAAUAAAAAAUAAAAAGGGCUAGGGAUAUAACCCAGUGGUUAAGCUCCCCUGUGUUCAGUUCCUAGUACCAAAGAAAAGGGAUCUGUUUGUUUGUUUUGUUUUGUUUUAUUUUCCCUUUUUAAGACAGUGUCUUGCUGAGUUGCACCCAGGGAUGGUCUUGAACUCAUGAUCUUCCUGCCUUAGUCUCCUAAAGAGUGGAUUUCAGGCACAUGCUGCAGAGCUUGACUUUAGGGAUUUGUUUUUUGUCUGGUUGCUAAAAGUAUUUUUUCCGACUCUUUUAUUAGAUAUUUUUUACUUAGUUGGCCAUGUGGAGUCAAUUUUAUUUAGAAUAUGAGAUUCCCUUUGAAAAUAUAGGUAGGUACAAGUCAUAUCUUUUUUAAAAAAAUAAAUAUCAGCUUAUUUUCACUUUAAAAAUUUCCAUCCAAUG
Molecule: long non-coding RNA, 1638 nt
Filed under: Marmota monax (woodchuck)
Lineage: Eukaryota; Metazoa; Chordata; Mammalia; Rodentia; Sciuridae
Source: RNAcentral